This 311-nucleotide ribosomal RNA is filed under the name uncultured soil bacterium. Its description in RNAcentral is "bacterial SSU rRNA". It matches the Rfam family "Bacterial small subunit ribosomal RNA", at positions 26 to 337 of the family's 1533-position model. The record is from RNAcentral.
AGAUUGAACGCUGGCGGCAGGCCUAACACAUGCAAGUCGAGCGGCAGCACGGGUACUUGUACCUGGUGGCGAGCGGCGGACGGGUGAGUAAUGCCUAGGAAUCUGCCUGAUAGUGGGGGAUAACGUUCGGAAACGGACGCUAAUACCGCAUACGUCCUACGGGAGAAAGUGGGGGAUCUUCGGACCUCACGCUAUCAGAUGAGCCUAGGUCGGAUUAGCUAGUUGGUAGGUAAAGGCCUACCAAGGCUACGAUCUGUAGCUGGUUUGAGUAGGACGACCAGCCACACUGGGACUGAGACACGGCCCAGACU